CCCUUUUUUCCCCCCAAUCAUCCCUCUUAUAUAUGAGUUUUCCCCCCGCCAGGAUGAACGCUAGCGGCAGGCUUAACACAUGCAAGUCGAGGGGUAUAGUUCUUCGGAACUAGAGACCGGCGCACGGGUGCGUAACGCGUAUGCAAUCUACCUUUCACAGAGGGAUAGCCCAGAGAAAUUUGGAUUAAUACCUCAUAGUAUUAUAGAGUGGCAUCACUUUAUAAUUAAAGUCACAACGGUGAAAGAUGAGCAUGCGUCCCAUUAGCUAGUUGGUAAGGUAACGGCUUACCAAGGCAACGAUGGGUAGGGGUCCUGAGAGGGAGAUCCCCCACACUGGUACUGAGACACGGACCAGACUCCUACGGGAGGCAGCAGUGAGGAAUAUUGGACAAUGGGCGCAAGCCUGAUCCAGCCAUGCCGCGUGCAGGAUGACGGUCCUAUGGAUUGUAAACUGCUUUUGUACAGGAAGAAACACUGGUUCGUGAACCAGCUUGACGGUACUGUAAGAAUAAGGAUCGGCUAACUCCGUGCCAGCAGCCGCGGUAAUACGGAGGAUCCAAGCGUUAUCCGGAAUCAUUGGGUUUAAAGGGUCCGUAGGCGGUUUAGUAAGUCAGUGGUGAAAGCCCAUCGCUCAACGGUGGAACGGCCAUUGAUACUGCUAAACUUGAAUUAUUAGGAAGUAACUAGAAUAUGUAGUGUAGCGGUGAAAUGCUUAGAGAUUACAUGGAAUACCAAUUGCGAAGGCAGGUUACUACUAAUGGAUUGACGCUGAUGGACGAAAGCGUGGGUAGCGAACAGGAUUAGAUACCCUGGUAGUCCACGCCGUAAACGAUGGAUACUAGCUGUUGGAAGCAAUUUCAGUGGCUAAGCGAAAGUGAUAAGUAUCCCACUGGAGAUUGAAAG
This 903-nucleotide ribosomal RNA is filed under the name Flavobacterium sp. Its description in RNAcentral is "bacterial SSU rRNA". It matches the Rfam family "Bacterial small subunit ribosomal RNA", at positions 1 to 885 of the family's 1533-position model. Lineage: Bacteria; Pseudomonadati; Bacteroidota; Flavobacteriia; Flavobacteriales; Flavobacteriaceae. The record is from RNAcentral.